This 549-nucleotide long non-coding RNA is filed under the name Bemisia tabaci. Its description in RNAcentral is "lncRNA ENSSSA2NGG008291". The record is from RNAcentral. Lineage: Eukaryota; Metazoa; Arthropoda; Insecta; Hemiptera; Aleyrodidae.
AAUCAUAACCAAAAACCUUUAAUUUGUGCUCUAUUCAUUUUUUUUUCUUUUUACCAGGAAAAGUUUACGGGCUUAGUUCGAAGCAUUAGAAAAGUUGGCUCCGACUUAAUUAACAAGAGUCGGAAGUCUGCACAUGAUGAUGGUGCUAAGCGAGGGACAGACUCGGAUACAAGCCUGGAAGAUGUCCGUUCACGGCAAGGAGAUACCCUAAGUUGCCUUGGGACGCCCGGUACACGGCGAGCUGUUUAUUACUCAGCUGAUGAGAACAACUCAGGCUCAAAUGAGCCAGAUGAUAGCACAAAACCUAGCAAAAACGAGAAUGAUAAUCAAAGAACGGAUACGCCUCAGCAAGAUCAAGGUUUGUUUGUGUACAAUCACGUCUCUGUAAUUAACCAGUCUCCAUCGCACAGUCCGAAUUUAUCGCAGCAGAAUUCGAAAAAGUCAUCUCCGGCGGAGGAUAAAAACUCGCCCCUGUGCUGCUUUGUAAUCACCACUCAAUUUUCGGACAUCCUUCUCAAGGACAUCAUGAAUGCGCUCUUCAGUCGCUGA